UAAUAUCUCCCACAGAGAGGAAAAAAAGAGAAGAAAAUUUAGAAAUGCGCGCGCAAAACGGCAAAUUAAGAAUAAAAAUAUAAUAAUUUAAAGAGUUGUAAUUUUAUACUAAAAAUUCUCUGCUUAUUGCUGAGAACAUUCUCCGACUCCGAGGUCCCAAUAGGGCUGUGAUUAUUCACUUCAGUCCUUUUCUAUCAUUCUCAACCUUUUCAGCAUCUGGAAUAAAAAAGCCAUUGAAACUGUCUAGUGAUUGGGAACUGUCAAUGGAAUGAGGCCAGGAUUUUGUCAUUAGCUGUAUCAGUAUUGCAUGAGUAUCCCCGGAAAGUUUGACUCUGAAUUUUGGAGUUUCAGAUCUUAUCAGUAAACUGAACGUGCGAGCCCAACUCUGUACUAUUGCAGGGAUUUCUUGGUUGUUCUAUGUUGAAUUUUGGAGUUCCGAUCGGCUUACUUGUAAACUAGAGAGGGAUCUUUUGGGUGUAAGAUGCUGAACCUUGGAGCUUUACAUCUGCUUUUUUGUAAACUGAACAGGCAAGCCCAACUCUGCACUCAAGUAGUCAUGAUGGAUUGAUCUGUAUGUUAUAGAUCUAGAUUUACCUUAUGCAGCUUCAAGUGAUUCAUGUCAUUUGGUUAUCCAUUAACAUGAAUUAAAAGAAUCUUUACCUGCAAAUAUUUUUGUGUGAAGACUUGAGAUCAGCUUGCCAAAAUGGGAACAAUAAAGAGCUCUUGAAGUCAAGCAUUAGGUAAGGUUUGGCAUAAGCAUUGACAAAGCAAAGUUAGGUCUUGACUGUACAAAUGGUCCUACAUCUUGAUAAUUAAUAAACUAAAAAAUUUAUUGAUUCCCCUGUCACAUUAAACUGUCAGCAUGUGAACCAGUGUGAAUUCUAUUUUUUGAAUCUUAAUUACAUAAAUGGCUGAUGAACUUGCUGGAAUUUUCAGAACAUCAAUCUGAAUGCUUUUUUUUAACAAAAUACUAAGAAUCUUGCAACCCCUGAAUCAUACAACUAGAUCAAAUACCCAGUUAUUUAUGUUCCUUAUAGACAAUGUUGCAAUAAGAUUAACACUAAGUCAUCCAAGAUGAGAGUGUGUGCUAGUUGAAAUUUUUUGUUUCCAUUGUUAACAAGGUGGAGGAAUAAAAUUAUAGCAUUGGUAUGAUAAUUUUGAGACUGCAGACUUUGAUGUGUAUUUUCUUGUAAGAUCUCUGGCAAAUCACACUAGGUUAUCCAUCAGUGUCCUGCUUAAUUUUAAUAUAUCAAUUAGAAAAAAGAGUGAAGGAGCAGUUGUACAAGUAAAAUGGCCUGCUUAAUUUUAAUAUAUCAAUUAGAAAAUAGAGUGAAGGAGCAGAUAUACAAGUAAAAUGAAGUAAAAGAGUUACUUUAGCUGGGGGCAUUCCGAGAAUCGAACUCGGGACCUCUCGCACCCAAAGCGAGAAUCAUACCACUAGACCAAAUGCCCUGCUGUUUGUUGGUCCCUCAAUCUAAAUAAUAGCUGGAAGUUUCAUGUCACUUGUAAGCUUGUGCCAUUUUUUGAAAUGAUUUUCUUGGAGGGAUGAGCAUUCUCCAGUGUCUGAGGGAUCCUUCCUGGGGUCAAUCGGUGUUAUGAUCUUUUACAAAUUUGUUUUUAGUACUAUAAAGAUCUUCAUUCUCACAUAAGAGAUCUAAAAAGGUCAUUUUCUUUCAUCCAAAUUUUAAGUGUUCAUAGUAGACCAUAUCCUCCCCCUUCCUCCCUCCAAUUGUUUUAGUACUAUAAAGAUCUUCAUUCUUACAUAAGAGAUCUGAAAAGGUCAUUUUCUUUCAUCCAAAUUUUAAGUGUUCAUAGUAGAACAUAUCCUCCCCCUUCCUCCCUCCCAUUGUUAAAAUAAUAUAUGUAGAGAGGGGCAUACUAUGCUAUUAAAGGUGCUGUAAUUGUAGACAUUAUUAAAGUUGGUUGUAUCUGAACAAACUCAACUAUAGAGGAGGAAGUAUUCUCCUACGGCGAAUGUAGAGUCAGUUACAGAUGAAGGAGUAUUUGGAGAGUCAAAUCAACUUAAGAGUAAAUAAAAACUUAAGCAAAAUAAAGGGGCAUUCCGGGAAUCGAACUCGGGACCUCUCGCACCCGAAGCGAGAAUCAUACCACUAGACCAAAUGCCCUGUUUUGUUGGUCCCCCAGUCUAAAUGAUAGCUGGAAGUUUCAUCUCCAGCUGUUUUGAGCUUAUACCAUCUUAUGAAAUAAUUUUCUAGGAGGAUGAAAUUCUCCUGUGCCUAAGGUCUCCUCCAAUGUUAAAAUAGUGUAUACAAAGACACAUAACAUCACAAUUAAAGGUGUUUUAGUUGUAGAAAAUAUCUUAACAUACUCAACUGUAGAAUCAGCUAGUGAUGAAGGAGUUGGUGAGUUAAAUUAACUUAGAGUAAAUUAAAACUUUAGCAAAACCAAGGGGCAUUCCGAGAAUCGAACUCGGGACCUCUCGCACCCAAAGCGAGAAUCAUACCACUAGACCAAAUGCCCAUUGUUGACAUUGUCUUAUUUGAAUUUUAGUCAAAUGUAUUUUAGCUCUGUAAGCUAUUUGAUCACAAUUGUCAUUGCUUACUGUAAUAUAGAAUUCAAAUAAUCCUUAUUUUACACCAUAUGAUCGUCAUUUGCUUACUUAAAUUUUCUUGAGUACUUUGCUUCUUAGGAUGUGAGGGGUAUAUAGAAGGUUGCUUAAAAUAAUAUGCCUCUGCAAUUCCUCUGAUUACUCCUGUUGAUGCCUAAAGAUGUUAUCAGCUUUGGUUGCUUCUAUCACUUGUAUAUUCACAAUCCUAUGCAAUCAUACUCAACCCUUUGGUCACACCAAAACCUGUGAGAUCUGUGUAGUGAUUAAAACAGUCAUUGGACAUGAGGCCAGGUCUCCAGUGUUAGCUGAAUUAAAAUUUCAUGCUUGAGCUUCAUCGUUCAAGUUACAGCUAAAGAAAAUAAAAUAUCCCCCAAGGAGUAUCUAGUUGAUAGUUAACCAUGGGUUUAAAGUUACCAGUUUCAAAAAGAAUAGUUAACCAUGGGUCUUUUUCUGGGUUCUCUUACUUCCAGUUCUCUUUUGAAUACCUUCUUUAUUAAGCUAUAUCAGUAUUACUUGUUUCGUGGAAUGGUGCAGCUCAUGUUAUGCGAUUUUGGAUGCAAAUAAUGAAGUUCAUGCUUCUUUGUUUCACUAAAGUGUAAUGAAAAUGGUUCAUGAACUAUGGAUAUCCGUUUGACUUGAAUUUAGAGAACUUUAUUUUUGUGGAAGAUCUGUGUUGUUGAUUAAUGAUCUCAGUUUUAUUGUUAACUUCCUUGACUCGUAAAUGAUCUUGUUAUAGAUCAAACAUAACGAUUCUUCGAUGUUACGACAAAUCCAUGUACCAAAUUGACUUAUAAGUUUUGCCUGCUUUAUCAAAUUGAAAAUGGAUGGCAAAAAAGCAUAUCUGAAAUGAUGGCUUGUGAUAUUUGAGAUACUCCAACUGAUCUGUCCAACAAUUAUUUAGGGAUCUUUUGGAAGUUAGACAUUGAAUGUUGGAGUUUCAGAUCUGUAAACUGAACAGGCCAGCCCCCAACUCUGCACUAUUGCAAGUAUUCAUGAUGUAUUAAGUUUUAGCUUAUAGAUCUAGAUUUACCUUAUUCAGCUUCAAGUGCUCAUGCCAUUUGGUUGUUCAUUAACAUGAAAAAAUAUAAUCUUUAUAUGCGAUUUUUGUUUUAUGAAGAAAGUCGAUUGAGUUUUGUAGUUGACUGGAGAUCAACUUACAAAAAUGGAAAGAAUGAAGAGCUCUUGAAGUCGAGCAUUAGGUAACAUUUGGUACAGAUUAUUGAUUCCCUUGUGGCAUUAAAUUGUCAGCAUGUGACCAAGUGUGAAUUCUUUUCUUUUGAAUCCUAGUUACAUAAAUGACCCUGCUUAAUUUGCAUGUACUAUCACUUAGAAAAUAGAGUGAAGGAGCAGAGUUGCAAGUAAAAUGAAUUAAAAAGUUGUAUUAGAUGGGGGCAUUCCGAGAAUCGAACUCGGGACCUCUCGCACCCAAAGCGAGAAUCAUACCACUAGACCAAAUGCCCAGCUCUUGUUGGUCCCUCAGUGGUAAUAAUAGUUUGAAGUUGAUAUUGGUUGUCUGGAGCUUGUACCAUUUUAUGCAAUAAUUUUCUGGGUGAAAUAAGCAUUCUCCAUUGUUUGAGCCUUUGAAAAGUUAAAUCAUCUUAGAGUAAAUAAAAACUUAUAUAAAAUUAAGGGGCAUUCCGAGAAUCGAACUCGGGACCUCUCGCACCCAAAGCGAGAAUCAUACCACUAGACCAAAUGCCCAUCGAUGACAUUGUCUUAUUUGAAUUUUAGUCAAAUGUAUUUUAGCUUUUCAACUAUUUGAUCACACAACUGUCAUUGCUUACUGUAAUAUAGAAUUCAAAUAAUCCGUAUUUUACACCAUAUGAUCUUCAUUUGCUUGCUUAAAUGUUCUUGAGUACUUAAUUAUCAAAAAAAAUGUUCUUUGAGUACAUGUUAUUUGGAUGUGAGGUGUAUAUAGAAGUUUGCUUAAAAUAAUAUGCCUCUGCAGUUCCUCAGAUUACUUCUCUCAAUGCCUAUAGAUGCUAUCAGCUUUGGUUGUUACUAUCACUUCUAUAUUUACAAUCCUAUGCAAGCAUACUCAACCCUUUGGUCGUCUGGAAUGCAAAAGACGUGAGAUCUGUGUAGUGAUUAAGAACUGUCAUUCGACAUGAGGCCAGGUCUCCGGUGUUAGCUGAAUUAACAUUUCAUGGUUGAGCUUCAUCUUUCUAGUUAUAGCUGAAGCAAAGAAAAUCUCCAACUAAGGAUUAUCGCAUUGAUAGUUAACCAUGUGCUUUUUUCUGGGUUCUCUUACUUCCUGUUCUCUUUUGGAUACCUUCUUUGUUAAGCUAUAUCACUAUCACUUGUUUCAUGGAAUGGUGCAGCUCAUGUUAUGCGAUUUUGGGUGCAAAGCAACAUGGUACAAUGAAGUUCAUGCUUCUUUGUUUCACUCAAGUGAAAUGAAAAUGGCUCAUGAACUGUGGAUAUCCGUUUCAUUCCUUAUUUUGACUUGAAAUUAAGAAAGCUUCCUUGAUUAAUGAUCUCAGUUGUUAUUGUUCACUUCCUUGACCUGUAAAUGACCUUGUAUCUAUAAUGAUUCUUUGAUGUUACGACAAUUCCAUGUACCAACUUCAUUAAGCAUAUUUGAAAUGAUGGCUUGUGAUAUUUGAGAUA
Long non-coding RNA from Solanum pennellii, 5179 nucleotides. RefSeq lists it as uncharacterized. The record is from RefSeq and is a predicted model, not a curated record. The transcript has 5 exons. NCBI's taxonomy places the organism in Eukaryota, Viridiplantae, Streptophyta, Magnoliopsida, Solanales, Solanaceae.